Kogia breviceps (pygmy sperm whale) is the source of this 773-nucleotide long non-coding RNA. RefSeq lists it as uncharacterized. The record is from RefSeq and is a predicted model, not a curated record. NCBI's taxonomy places the organism in Eukaryota, Metazoa, Chordata, Mammalia, Artiodactyla, Physeteridae.
CCUCCAACUGCCGCCAGCCUAACCACCGGCCCUGGGGCCCCUGCAAGGCGGGUGCUGGGCCCCCUAGGAGUGAGUCCAGGUCAAGCCAGACAGCUGCAAUUUCACUAGGAGUCCUGCCACGCUGGGUCACAGACCAAGCUUGGAGAAGAUGCUGCCUGAGAGGAAGGAGGCAGGCCAGGGUACAGGCCCACAAGUGGCACCCCACCGUGUUACCAGAAGACCCACCAACAGGGUCCACCUCUGGCCCAAGCAGGGAGUGCUUUCCUUGUACACACAGUGGGUGCGGCUCAGGGAAGACAGAAACCAGGGGCCAACACACUACGUAACAUUCAUCAUGUAAUUGAAUGAUGUGGUAGCCAAUGUGAUCCUGCUAACAAGGCUGCCCACCCAGCAAAGAGGGUGUCUACUCUACCUCUGCCAGCGACCCAAGACUCCUGAAGUGAAAGGCCAGUGACUGUCCUUCUCCAGAGAAAGCGACGAAUCUGCCUCCAGCUUCAUCCUGAGUGUGAAGAGAAAAUACCAUUUUCAGAAACUCCUUGGAAGUUUAAUAAAUGCUUUAUUCUGUUGACUCAUGUACCAUCUGCCCAUUUUCCUUACUCCCACAUUUAUAAAAAGAAAUGUCUUUGAAAUAGAAAUACAAGUUAUAAUCUACUGAAUUGAAAACAAAACGAUGGAAUCACAACUGUCUACCACAGCCUUUUUUCUCAGGUUGAGUAUAUAUCUUUUUGCAAAGGUAUCACAUUUUCAAUGUAAAAAAUACAAAAUACACCCCC